UCUCGGCGCCAAUUCUCCAGAUGUGGAAAGACGUUGACAGGCCACCUACGUUUUUAUCCGGAGCUUCGUUACUUUUUUUGAAAGAAAAAGAAUAAUAAUAAGAAGAAGUCCUUCUGGCAGCUGCCUCCUGAUUGGUCUUCAACACACAGGUCUUGAUACACUGGCAUGUGAUGUUGAUGGCUGGCCACAAGUGUCCGUUGGGGUGCUGACUGUUAUUGAUGAAGAAGAACCUCUCAUUCCAAAUAAACUGUACCUUGACCCAGUGUCUACUGCAGUCAUUGUGGAGGGAGGUAUAGUACUGGAUAAUCAGCAGAAUCUGCCUCAGGCAAUUUGCAUCUUGUUUGGUCUGUCUUAUGCUUUAAAUUUGAAGUACCCAAAAGGCAUUAUCAACAAUUUCAACUUCAUUCAGAAAGUGAUGCUUGGUUUGGGACAGAACAAACUGCCACCAAAACUACAAUCUCUAAAAAAUCUCCUGUUGAGCUGAGAUGUAAUCAAAUGUGCAAGAGUGAUGAUAUUUGACAUUUGAUAAAAAAAAAAAAAAUGUUCUGACAGUGGAAUAAGAGUAGUUGAUAGAAAAAAAAGGAAAACUAAGGCACUUGUUUAAACUUGAGCAAGUUAAGAGGCUGCCAGUGUAAUCGACGUGUGUCAGAGACAUUGCUUUUGGCACUUGUCAGCUUGUUGGUUCUAUCAAGUUUGGUCUCUGAAAUGUUGUUGAUUUAAAGUUGUUAUGAUUCAAGGUAUGGCCCAUUUACUUAUAUAGAUUUUAUAUACAUGUAUUUAGAUUUUUGUAUUGUAAAAUAUUUUUGUUUUAAACAUUUUAAAAACCUGACUAUUUGCAUUUUCUUUUUACCCCAGUGCAAACUUGUGUGUACCAUCCUUGUGUCAGUUGUUAAGAAAAAUAAAUAUAUUUACCUUUGAAUUGUA
Carassius gibelio (silver crucian carp) is the source of this 924-nucleotide long non-coding RNA. RefSeq lists it as uncharacterized. Lineage: Eukaryota; Metazoa; Chordata; Actinopteri; Cypriniformes; Cyprinidae. The record is from RefSeq and is a predicted model, not a curated record. The transcript has 3 exons.